This 253-nucleotide ribosomal RNA is filed under the name uncultured bacterium. RNAcentral's name for it is "partial 16S ribosomal RNA". It matches the Rfam family "Bacterial small subunit ribosomal RNA", at positions 524 to 776 of the family's 1533-position model. The record is from RNAcentral.
GACGAACCGUCCAAACGUUAUUCGGAAUCACUGGGCUUACAGAGUUCGUAGGCGGUCCCAAAAGUUAGGUGUGAAAUCCCUCGGCUCAACCGAGGAACUGCGCUUAAAACUGUGGGACUCGAGGGAGAUAGAGGAAAGCGGAACUGAUGGUGGAGCGGUGAAAUGCGUUGAUAUCAUCAGGAACACCGGUGGCGAAGGCGGCUUUCUGGGUCUUACCUGACGCUGAGGAACGAAAGCCAGGGGAGCGAACGGG